UAGUGUGCUAAGUUUUUUUUAAGAUAAUGGAAUAUAAAAUCUCAGUCUUUGCUCAAAAGAGUUAUAGUCAAUUAUUACAUAGUAGCACUCAGAGCGUAAUUCCAAACAAAUAAAACAUACCACAAAGGAUAACAAAGAAUCCAAACUAACGUAAGGAGAUCACAAUCAUUGAAGUCUAUUUGUAAAUCUCUAACCAUAAUUGACAAAAAGUUGCAUAACCGUAGUCUAUAACUUGCGACAUGCAACUUUCAGAAACUCUUCAUCUUCAUCACACUUUUAUAAUUGUGCCAAAAACCGGAGCCAAUAAAUUGCCCUGAAAAUUACCUGUAUAUAGAAAAAUGAUGGUGAUUUAGUGUGCUAAUGAAAACCAAAAUAAAAUUUAUAUCUUACUUGGAAUAAGAAGGACCAAAUAAUUGCUAUUUCUUCUCAAACAUGGUCGUAAGCUUCUCUCAUCUAACAUGUUCACAAAACUCGAUCGAUGUGAUGCAUUCAUACAAGAGUUUGAGAAAAGUUUCAUCGAUGUGAGCCGCGUUUGAAUGAUGCGCAUGCGGCCAUCGGGCCAUUGUUCACAACAGAUCGCUUGUCCUGCCCGCUAACCCACGUCAGAUCGAACGAAUAAACGCGUACGCCUAUCUACGUAGGUUGAUCGAUCUCGCCGGCGCUGCGCCUAGCUCACCAGUCAUCAACGCGCACAAGCUAAGCUAGCCAAUGCAACGACCGACACGGCCGCCCGCCCACGCAUGCAUGCCACCACUAGCUAGCUAGCUGCUUGACAUCAGUCUUUCAUAAUUAGUACUUCCUCCGUUUCAAAUUACAACUUUUUUUUACUUUGAUUAAUAUUAAACUACUUUAAAAUUUAACUAAGUUUAUAGAUAAAUAGUAAUAUUUGUAACACCAAAUUAGUUUCACUAGAUCAAUAAUUGAAUAUAUUUUCAUAAUAUUGUCUUAUAGUAGUUUGAACGACUAUAAUUUUUUAUAAUACACUGGUGGAAAAAUCAUCUUUCGUCGGUCCGGCAAAAUCCACAAUAGUCCCGGAUCCAAAAAGAACCGGGACUAAAGAUUGUUUUUAGUCCCGGUUAUAAAAAUUUUGAUCUACCAACCAGGACUAAAGAUGAUCUUUAGUCCCGGUUUAUCCCUUGUCAGAUGUAUGUCAGGGGCCGAGAAUCUUUAGUCCCGGUUGGUGUCAAUAACUGGGACUAAAGAUCACCACUUUAGUCACGGUUGGUACUACCAACCGGAACUAAAGAUUAAGAUAAUCUUACCAACCGGGACUAAAAUUAAACACGUAGUAUAUAAUCCCUAUCCCUUAUCCUCUCCUCCACACUUAUCCCCUCUCCUCAGAUCUAACUCUCUUCCUCAUCCCCUCUCCAACUCCUCCCCUUCCUCCUCUCCUCCCCUUCUCCCCUUCCUCCUCCCCCCUCCUCCCCUUCCCAUCCGGCCGGCCGGCGGGCGGCGGCUGGCGGCGCCGCGCGUGGCGGCGAGCGGCGGCGGCCGUGGCGGGCGGUGGGGCGGCGCCCGGCGGAGGCCGGCAGGGCCGCGGCCGGCGGCGGGCGGCGGGGCCGCGGCGUCGCGCGCGGUGGCGGGCGGCGGGGCCGCGGCGUCGCGCGCGGUGGCGGGCGGCGGCGGCCGGGGCGGGCGGAGGGGCCGCGGCCGGCGGGUCCGCGGCAGGCGGGGCCGCGCUCGGCGGUCGUGGCGAGCGGCGGCAGCAGCGGCAUUGGUUUUUUUUAAAAAAAUUUGUGAUGAUUCACUGAGAUGUAUUUGACUGAGAAGUUAUAAAUUUGUGAUUCAUUGUUUGGAUCUGUGAUGUAUUUGAGUAAUUUCUUAGGAUAUUGUGAUGUAUUUGAUUUGUGUGUAUAAGUAAUUUUAUGAUUUGUGAUGUGGGUUUGGUGAUGUGAAUUUGGGAUGUUAUUUUGAUUUGGGGAUUUGCCUACUUGAUUCGGGAGAAAAUAAAAAGGGAAAAAGAAAAAGAAAAUGGGGAACAUCUGGUACUGCCGCUAUUGUCUCUUUAGUCCCGGUUGGUAACAUCAACCGGGACUAAAGAUCCUCUCUCUUUAGUCCCGGUUGGUGGUACCAACCGGGGACUAAAGAUGUAUCUUUAGUCCCGGUUAUUUCAACCGGGACUAAAGAUCUUUAGUCCCGGAUCCUUACUCCCGGUUGAAAAACCGGGACUAAAGGGGGUUCCCAACCGGGAGUAAAGAUGGUUUCUCCACCAGUGAUAUAAGUCGUUUGAUUUUAAUCAAAGUCAAAACGACUUAUAAUCUGAAACGGAUAGAGUAGUAAAAAAAGACAUAGUACAUGAGAAUUGCGCACAAAUUUAACAGAAUCAAUUAAACUGGUGUACUAGAUCAUUUGGAAUUAAUAACAUGGAAGGAAAAUGGGCAUGUUAACCUGUUUUGUGGCUGGACUGCAGCCGACACCAAUCGUGCCGCACGCACACGGUGUAGCCACAGCCGCAGCUGCAGCCACCGCAAACAGCUUGCCGAACAGGCCAUUGCUGCAGCUACUGCACGGGCUGCAGUUACAAGCCAGCAACGUUGGUAUGCAGUGCCUCGUCCCACCUGAAGGCUGCAGCGCAGCUACAACAACACCUGCUUAACAGACCCAAUAGCCGUGCUCUGAGAUGAAUAACCUAACUAUGAGGCUGGUCGGGAGAGAUUGCUACGGUCGUGUAGCCGCGGCAGCAGCAAUCACAACACAAUUCAGGAGCAUUGGCUGCAGCUGCUAGCCAAACAGACCCAAUUCGUGUAGUUGUAGUUUUAGAGCAGCUAGCCGCAGC
This 2776-nucleotide long non-coding RNA is filed under the name Oryza sativa (Asian cultivated rice). Its description in RNAcentral is "long non-coding RNA (OSAT_LNC001662)". Lineage: Eukaryota; Viridiplantae; Streptophyta; Magnoliopsida; Poales; Poaceae. The record is from RNAcentral.